AAGCAUCCUGUUAAGUCAGGCAACGAGCGAGACCCACGCCCACAGUUGCCAGCGUACUCUCUGGAGUGACGGGUACGACUGUGGGGACCGCCGCUGCUAAAGCGGAGGAAGGAAUGGGCAACGGUAGGUCAGUAUGCCCCGAAUAUCCCGGGCUACACGCGAGCUACAAUGGUUGGUACAAUGGGUAUCUACCCCGAAAGGGGACGGGAAUCUCCUAAAACCAAUCUUAGUUCGGAUUGAGGGCUGCAACUCGCCCUCAUGAAGCUGGAAUCCGUAGUAAUCGCGUUUCAACAGAACGCGGUGAAUACGUCCCUGCUCCUU
Molecule: ribosomal RNA, 321 nt
Filed under: uncultured Methanosaeta sp.
Lineage: Archaea; Methanobacteriati; Methanobacteriota; Methanomicrobia; Methanotrichales; Methanotrichaceae
Description: bacterial SSU rRNA
Rfam family: Archaeal small subunit ribosomal RNA
Source: RNAcentral